CCCUAAGCGGGGGUACGCCAGCCGGUGGAUGCCUCGGCUUGGGCGCUGAAGAAGGACGUGGCAAGCUGCGAUAAGCCCUGGGUAGCCGCAGGCGGGCGUUGAUCCAGGGAUCUCCUAAUGGGAUUUCCUGGGGUGGCUUCGGCCACCUCGUUCCCGGGCCUCGAGCCUGGGAUCGGGAACCCCCCGAACGGAAGCAUCCAAGUAGGGGGAGGAGAAGAAAUCAAACCGAGAUUCCCUUAGUAGGGGCGACCGAAAGGGGAGAAGCCCAAACCGAACCGCCGCGGGUAACCGCGGUGGAAUGUGGGGUUUUGGGCCGUGGGUCCACCCUGAAGGCCGAGCCGAACUCCCCUGGAACGGGGGGCCGUAGAGGGUGAUAGCCCCGUAGGCGGAGGCUGGAGGGGUGAUGCUGCGGUUCCAGAGUACCGCACCUCGGAUUUGGUGUGGGAAGUUGGGGGCUACUGGCCUCCAAGGCUAAAUACGUCCCAAGACCGAUAGCGGACCAGUAGCGUGAGCGAAAGGUGAAAAGUACCACGGGAGUGGGGUGAAAAGCGUCUGAAACCGGCUGGUAACAGACGAGCACGGCCUGAAAGGGCAUUCCCCGCGAAGCCCCGGCGAGGGGCGAGUGGGGACAGUUCCAGGGUCGUGCACUCCGUCUUGAAUCACGGGCCGGGGAGUUCACGGGUGUGGCAAGCCUAAGGGCAUGUAAGCCCGUAGGCGUGGGGAAACCGACAUGCCCGCAGCCGGAGUACGCUCCGGUGAGGGGCGGGGUCUGAAAGGGCCCGUAGUCACGCCCGUGAGGCUAGAAACCGGGCGAUCUAGCCCUAGGCAGGGCGAAGCCAGGGGAAACCCUGGUGGAGGCCCGAAUAGGGGUCUUGAUGUGCAAUUCGGUCCCCUGACCUGGGGCUAGGGGUUAAAAGCUAAUCGAGCCCGGUGAUAGCUAGUUCCCCCCGAAGUGUCUCGCAGGACAGCCUCGGGGGAGGUUGCCCGCGGGGUAGAGCACCGAUGGGGGAGCAAGGGGCCGAUGAGGCUCCACUCUCCUUUCGAACUCCGAAUCUGCGGGCGCCGUAGAACCCGGGAGUGGGGUACCGGGGGUAAGCUCCGGGACCGAGAGGGGAACAACCCAGACCGCGGGUUAAGGCCCCUAAGUGCCCGCUAAGUGACAAACCAAAGGGCGUCUUCACCCUGAGACAGCGGGGCCGUAGGCUUAGAAGCAGCCAUCGGCUAAGAAGUGCGUAACAGCUUACCCGCCGAGGGUGGGGGCCCCGAAAAUUGACGGGUCUAAGCGGGCCGCCGAAACCCGGGCUCACCCACGCCGUGCGUGGGUGGGGGUAGGGGGGCGUAGCGGUUGGGUAGAAGCGGGGCCGUGAGGUCCCGUGGACCGGCCGCUAAUGUAGAUCCCGGUGGUAGUAGACAGCGAAGAGGGGUGGGAAUCCCCUCCGCCGGAAGGGCACGGGUUUCCCGGCAAUGCGUCGUCAGCCGGGAGUAAGCCGGUCCUAAGGCCGACCUUAACCGGGUAGGCCGAAGGGGAAACCGGUUAAGAUUCCGGUGCCUCCUGGAUAGGUGCGGCGACGCAAGCCGGUCUCCCAACGCCUCGGGUAAGGCCGAGCAGGGCUGUAGCUCUGUCUAACCUCCCAAGCCUGGGGAGAGCCGUAACGGCGAGAACCAGGUGAAUGGAGGGACGGGGCGGCCGUAAGGCCGCUUCGGCUGGACCCUGGGGCCAGUGAAAAGGGAGACCGGAACGAUUCCAGGAGACCGUACCUAGAUCCGACACAGGUGCCCCUGGCUGAGAAGGCCAAGGCGUCUGGGGUUACUCCGGGCUAGGGAACUCGGCAAAUUAGCCCCGUAACUU
RNAcentral lists this ribosomal RNA (1849 nucleotides) under Candidatus Calditenuaceae archaeon. RNAcentral's name for it is "partial 23S ribosomal RNA". It matches the Rfam family "Archaeal large subunit ribosomal RNA", at positions 1 to 1833 of the family's 2987-position model. The record is from RNAcentral. Lineage: Archaea; Thermoproteati; Nitrososphaerota; Candidatus Caldarchaeales; Candidatus Calditenuaceae.